RNAcentral lists this ribosomal RNA (492 nucleotides) under uncultured bacterium. Its description in RNAcentral is "partial 16S ribosomal RNA". It matches the Rfam family "Bacterial small subunit ribosomal RNA", at positions 29 to 507 of the family's 1533-position model. The record is from RNAcentral.
AGUGAACGCUGGCGGUAGGCCUAACACAUGCAAGUCGAACGGCAGCACAGUAAGAGCUUGCUCUUACGGGUGGCGAGUGGCGGACGGGUGAGGAAUACAUCGGAAUCUACUUUUUCGUGGGGGAUAACGUAGGGAAACUUACGCUAAUACCGCAUACGACCUACGGGUGAAAGCAGGGGAUCUUCGGACCUUUCGCGAUUGAAUGAGCCGAUGUCGGAUUAGCUAGUUGGCGGGGUAAAGGCCCACCAAGGCGACGAUCCGUAGCUGGUCUGAGAGGAUGAUCAGCCACACUGGAACUGAGACACGGUCCAGACUCCUACGGGAGGCAGCAGUGGGGAAUAUUGGACAAUGGGCGAAAGCCUGAUCCAGCAAUACCGCGUGGGUGAAGAAGGCCUUCGGGUUGUAAAGCCCUUUUGUUGGGAAAGAAAAGCAGCAGGUUAAUACCCCGAUGUUCUGACGGUACCCAAAGAAUAAGCACCGGCUAACUUCGUG